This 77-nucleotide transfer RNA is filed under the name Pseudobdellovibrionaceae bacterium. RNAcentral's name for it is "Bdellovibrionaceae bacterium (bioreactor metagenome) tRNA-Arg". It matches the Rfam family "tRNA". Rfam says of the family: Transfer RNA (tRNA) molecules are approximately 80 nucleotides in length. RNAcentral also lists the same sequence under 3 other names. The record is from RNAcentral. Lineage: Bacteria; Pseudomonadati; Bdellovibrionota; Bdellovibrionia; Bdellovibrionales; Pseudobdellovibrionaceae.
GCGGUCGUAGCUCAGCUGGAUAGAGUACCUGACUACGAAUCAGGUGGUCGGAGGUUCGAAUCCUCCCGUCCGCACCA